This 689-nucleotide ribosomal RNA is filed under the name Loxosceles rufescens. Its description in RNAcentral is "partial large subunit ribosomal RNA". The stretch from base 438 to 689 matches the Rfam family "Eukaryotic large subunit ribosomal RNA", at positions 665 to 884 of the family's 3401-position model. The record is from RNAcentral. Lineage: Eukaryota; Metazoa; Arthropoda; Arachnida; Araneae; Sicariidae.
UCGGAAGGGUCGGAGGUGCCAACGGUCGAUCGAAACGGACCUCCUCCAAGGCCGGGCCGCAGGCACGGUCUCCGACUCGCCCGACGCAUUUCCUCUCGCACUACGGACGCCGCAACCGGUCGGGUAGCUGCGCGAGUCGGCCACGAGGGCGGGCGCCGGCAGGUGGCCGGGGGUUUCGCUUCGGCGUCUCUCCCGGUUGUUAGCCAGCUCGCCCGUGGCGCGACACCCGACCGAGGUCGACCCGUUCCCGCUCGUGGGAACGCGCCGUCCCCUUUCCAGCGGGCGCUCCGGCAGGCGAACUGCGGUCGUCGCCGAGUCACUCUUCGUAGUGGCCGGCGCGUCGCGGACGCCGUUGGCCGGCAGUGAGUCCCGCGGGGGCGGUCCCGGGGUUGGCGGCGAGUAGGUCGGUCACCCACCCGACCCGUCUUGAAACACGGACCAAGGAGUCUAACAUGUGCGCGAGUCACGGGGUCUUGACCAGGCCCAGAGGCGCAAUGAAAGUGAAGGCCGCUCUCGCGGUGGCUGUGUUGGGACUCCGCUCGAAUUUUCGGGCGGAAGCACCAACGGCCCGUCCCGUCCGAUUUAUCGGUGGGGCGGAGUCGGAGCGUACACGUUGGGACCCGAAAGAUGGUGAACUAUGCCUGGGCAGGACGAAGCCAGAGGAAACUCUGGUGGAGGUCCGUAGCGGU